Molecule: unclassified non-coding RNA, 330 nt
Filed under: soil metagenome
Description: partial contains 5.8S ribosomal RNA, internal transcribed spacer 2, and large subunit ribosomal RNA
Rfam family: 5.8S ribosomal RNA (bases 1-120)
Source: RNAcentral
GAUGAAGAACGUAGCGAAAUGCGAUAAGUAAUGUGAAUUGCAGAAUUCAGUGAAUCAUCGAAUCUUUGAACGCACAUUGCGCCCAGUGGUAUUCCGCUGGGCAUGCCUGUUCGAGCGUCAUUUCAACCCUCAAGCCCAGCUUGGUAUUGGGUGUCACCUGUGCAUGGUGCACCUCAAAAUCAGUGGCAGUGCCAUCUGGCUUCGAGCGCAGUAAUACUUCUCGCUCUGGAGGUCCAGGGGGAUGCUAGCCAAAAGCCCUAUAUUCUCAAGGUUGACCUCGGAUCAGGUAGGGAUACCCGCUGAACUUAAGCAUAUCCAAUAAGCGGAGGA